Cloeon dipterum is the source of this 715-nucleotide long non-coding RNA. RefSeq lists it as uncharacterized. NCBI's taxonomy places the organism in Eukaryota, Metazoa, Arthropoda, Insecta, Ephemeroptera, Baetidae. The transcript is spliced from 3 exons. The record is from RefSeq and is a predicted model, not a curated record.
GCAAAUAAUAAAUUUUAGAAAUGAAAUUUUUAAUAUUUUCCUCUAGGUUUUACUAUGGCAAAGCGCAAAAUUUGGAAGGCCGGCUGAUGUACUCUUCAUAUCAGUAUGGAUGGGAGUUUUCUAGCGGCCCUUACUUGAUUCUCACGCCGUCCACGCUGCGGUGCUACCGGGCUUUGGUUUCCGCACAUCAAAUAGGCAUCUUUUUAAACCUGCAAGGACCAGCUUGUUGCGGAAAAAGCUCUACUUUUCUCAGCCUAGCUGCACUUUUUGGACGACUUAAGGUGUCUGUGGCCUGCUCAGUGGCUACUAACGAAGUCACACUACUCAGGGUGCUACAGGGGAGCGCUGGAUGCGGGGCAUGGUGCUUGCUUGACGAGGUGCAUCAACUCACGCCUGAGGUAUUAUCGGUCACUGCCCAGCACGUGUUGGAUUUGUCAAUGGCGUGCGAAGCGAACGCGGCGCAACUGAGCCUGCAGGGUCGGCAACCGGUGCGCCUCGCUCGACCUUUCUGCCUCUUGUGCGUCACCUCGCAACGGCCGCUCCUAGAUCAAGUGCCAAAUAAUUUCAAGAGCUUGUUUCGACCGUGGACUUGGAGCAAGCCAGAUAUGAGCGUUUUUAUUGAAAUCAAGCUGAGGGCAGCGGGAGAUCAAAACGCGAGAGAAAAGGCAAAACGACUGACGACUGCUUUUGAAAUCGCGCAGCAGCGACUUGGCCC